AAUACUCCUUAAGAUAUCAAAAGAAAUACUAGAUUCCUUACUAAAACCUUUAUAUUUUCUCCUUCACUAUACUCCUUUCUUUUUCUUCUUCUCUCACUAGACUACUAUCUUUCUCUCUCUAUCUCUUUAAAUCUUUGAAACAUGGAAGAAUGAAAUUGUGGAGAGGAAGGGAAAGGGAAGGGAAAUUUAUAGAGUUUUGAAAUCAUCAGAUUCACGCCAAGUGGUGAAAUCUGGUGAAGAGAGAGGAGAAAAAGAUGCUCAGCACAAAAAAUGAAGGAGGAGAGCCCCCUCCAUCUGUGCGUGCAUGUGUGCGGAUGGGACAUGCACACUGUGUGCACGUCCCGCGGCU
Molecule: long non-coding RNA, 349 nt
Filed under: Carica papaya (papaya)
Lineage: Eukaryota; Viridiplantae; Streptophyta; Magnoliopsida; Brassicales; Caricaceae
Description: long non-coding RNA (CPAP_LNC011870)
Source: RNAcentral